Drosophila sulfurigaster albostrigata is the source of this 1558-nucleotide long non-coding RNA. RefSeq lists it as uncharacterized. NCBI's taxonomy places the organism in Eukaryota, Metazoa, Arthropoda, Insecta, Diptera, Drosophilidae. The transcript has 2 exons. The record is from RefSeq and is a predicted model, not a curated record.
UUUCGGUAAAAUUUUAAUAAUGAAAAAGUUUUUACAAGUUUAUUUUCAAUGAAACUUUUUAACAUUACUUAAUAGUAAAAAAUGCUAGCUGAAUAACCACUCAAAAAAAAUAUGGAAAAAAUACACACAAAAUGAAUUCAAUGAUAAGAAUGCUGUCAAACCCAUGAAUCACGGACAAGUGACAACAUACUCGGAGCUGUUGUCCUAGGCCCAAAGUGAGCAUCAAAUAUUCCAAACAUAUAUUCUAAAUAAUUUAUAGUCGCAUUUGAGGCGCUGCACAAGACUGGUAGUUGUACAAUAUUUUUUUUGUUGGCCACCCAGUUGUCGGGGGCAGUCGGACAAUUGAUCGAUGCAUCAGCAAAAUGCGAACGCAAACUCGUCGUCUGUAUGAACGCAUAAAUACUCUUUAACGGGCAGGGCACGAACCCAGAUCGAGAGCCCUUCUGCUGCAGACGGUGGCACUUGCAGUGCCAGUCGAGAAUCGGUAAUCGGGAAUCGGGAGUCGAGCCUAAUUAGGAAUUCCGUGUGCAGUGCGAGUCGCAGGCUUCCAGGAAUACGUGUCAAGUGUUUGGUUUUUUGCCUGCACUUGGUUUGGAUUCAUUUGUCUUUGCUCAAAGAGAGGGGCGACGGGGUGAUGAGGGGAUCACUAGCACGAGUCGUGUGACUCAUGAGCAAAUAUUCUCAUGCCUGGCGUGGUUUCCUGCUUCCUUUGAGGGAGAGAGUGAUGCGGUAGCUACGCAGCAGGUUCGCUGCCUAAGUCUUUUGUUUUUGUUUUUUUUUGUGUGGUGUGUUGCUACGUACCCCUCGUCUAAUAAUUCAAAUUGAGUUAAUUACACUUUUAAAUGCUGGAAAUUAACAUUGCGCCGAUAAGCAUCUCGCUUGUUGCUUGUUUAGCCACAAGCCAACUAAACCUGGCCAUAACUACAACUACGACAGCGACGACAAACGACGUGCCCCAAAAAUUGUGUCCGAGCCCCAAGCCCAAAAGAAACCUCAGCUCAACAAGCUCAUAAAUUUUCAUAAACAUAACAAAAUAAAAUAAAGCUAAGAAGAAAAAAAAAACAUACACACAAAACUAACAUUACACACAUAAAACUAACGAGUGAGUUGAAAUCCAAAGACAAAAUACAUAAUUUUUCUUGAUACAAUAUGUUUUAUUCGCGGGGAACCAAACUAAAGUUCUGUUUAAUUUUUUUUUUUUUGUCUUAGCAACUUGUGCGACUUGUGCUGAUUAUAUAAUGACAAUAAAACAUGCCCAAAAACAACAGCAGAGUUGCCAAAAAACAAUAAGAAAUAAAAGAGCCAGCGAGACGAAAAACAUUUAAAUAUUUUUGCAAGCAAAAACCGAACAAGAUCAUUUGUAUGCGCCACCACAAACGCCAUCGCCAUCGCCAUCGCCAUCGGCAUCGCCAUCGCCAGGUCUGAGCCUGAGCCGCGUGACCACUUUGAAGAAAAGCCGUCAAAAACCGUCGAAAAACCUGGGCGGGGUGUUGACCAUAAAUAUGCGCAGACAUAAAACGCGUUAUAAUAUAUUAAUUAGCCAAUGCCAAUAAGGCAA